RNAcentral lists this ribosomal RNA (1210 nucleotides) under metagenome. Its description in RNAcentral is "bacterial SSU rRNA". It matches the Rfam family "Bacterial small subunit ribosomal RNA", at positions 278 to 1498 of the family's 1533-position model. The record is from RNAcentral.
GAUCAUUAGGGGUUCUGAGAGGAUUAUCCCCCACACUGGUACUGAGACACGGACCAGACUCCUACGGGAGGCAGCAGUGAGGAGUAUUGGUCAAUGGGCGCAAGCCUGAACCAGCCAUCCCGCGUGCAGGAUGACGGCCCUAUGGGUUGUAAACUGCUUUUAUUUGCCAAGAAUGGUUACUACGUGUAGUAAUUUGACGGUAGCAAACGAAUAAGGACCGGCUAACUCCGUGCCAGCAGCCGCGGUAAUACGGAGGGUCCAAGCGUUAUCCGGAUUCAUUGGGUUUAAAGGGUGCGCAGGCGGGCUUGUAAGUCAGUGGUGAAAUUCUGCCGCUUAACGGUAGAACUGCCAUUGAUACUGCAAGUCUUGAAUAUGGUUGAGGUAGGCGGAAUGUGUUGUGUAGCGGUGAAAUGCAUAGAUAUGACACAGAACGCCAAUUGCGAAGGCAGCUUACUAAGCCAUUAUUGGCGCUGAGGCACGAAAGCGUGGGGAGCGAACAGGAUUAGAUACCCUGGUAGUCCACGCCGUAAACGAUGUUCACUCGCUGUCUGCGAUACACAGUAGGCGGCUGGGCGAAAGCAUUAAGUGAACCACCUGGGGAGUACGAUCGCAAGGUUGAAACUCAAAGGAAUUGACGGGGGCCCGCACAAGCGGAGGAACAUGUGGUUUAAUUCGAUGAUACGCGAGGAACCUUACCUGGGCUUAAAUGUAGGUUGCAUAGAUUAGAGAUAGUCUUUCCCUUCGGGGCUACCUACAAGGUGCUGCAUGGUUGUCGUCAGCUCGUGCCGUGAGGUGUCGGGUUAAGUCCCAUAACGAGCGCAACCCCUAUCGUUAGUUGCUAGCAGGUAAUGCUGAGGACUCUAGCGAGACUGCCACCGUAAGGUGAGAGGAAGGUGGGGAUGACGUCAAAUCAGCACGGCCCUUAUGUCCAGGGCCACACACGUGUUACAAUGGCAGGUACAAAGGGCAGCUACACAGCGAUGUGAUGCUAAUCCCUAAAGCCUGUCCCAGUUCGGAUUGGAGUCUGCAACCCGACUCCAUGAAGUUGGAUUCGCUAGUAAUCGGAUAUCAGCAAUGAUCCGGUGAAUACGUUCCCGGGCCUUGUACACACCGCCCGUCAAACCAUGGAAGCUGGGGGUGCCUGAAGUCUGUGACCGCAAGGAGCGGCCUAGGGUAAAACUAGUAACUAGGGUUAAGUCGAAACAAGGUA